GAUGAACGCUGGCGGCGUGCCUAAUACAUGCAAGUCGAGCGAACGGACGAGAAGCUUGCUUCUCUGAUGUUAGCGGCGGACGGGUGAGUAACACGUGGAUAACCUACCUAUAAGACUGGGAUAACUUCGGGAGACCGGAGCUAAUACCGGAUAAUAUUUUGAACCGCAUGGUACAAAAGUGAAAGACGGUCUUGCUGUCACUUAUAGAUGGAUCCGCGCUGCAUUAGCUAGUUGGUAAGGUAACGGCUUACCAAGGCAACGAUGCAUAGCCGACCUGAGAGGGUGAUCGGCCACACUGGAACUGAGACACGGUCCAGACUCCUACGGGAGGCAGCAGUAGGGAAUCUUCCGCAAUGGGCGAAAGCCUGACGGAGCAACGCCGCGUGAGUGAUGAAGGUCUUCGGAUCGUAAAACUCUGUUAUUAGGGAAGAACAUAUGUGUAAGUAACUGUGCACAUCUUGACGGUACCUAAUCAGAAAGCCACGGCUAACUACGUG
RNAcentral lists this ribosomal RNA (497 nucleotides) under uncultured bacterium. RNAcentral's name for it is "partial 16S ribosomal RNA". It matches the Rfam family "Bacterial small subunit ribosomal RNA", at positions 28 to 507 of the family's 1533-position model. The record is from RNAcentral.